UACGGAAGGCAGCAGUGGGGAAUAUUGCACAAUGGGCGAAAGCCUGAUGCAGCUAUGCCGCGUGUAUGAAGAAGGCCUUAGGGUUGUAAAGUACUUUCAUCGGGGAGGAAAAAAACAAAACUAAUAAUUUUAUUUCUUGACGUUACCCGAAAAAGAAGCACCGGCUAACUCCGUGCCAGCAGCCGCGGUAAUACGGAGGGUGCUAGCGUUAAUCAGAAUUACUGGGCGUAAAGAGCACGUAGGUGGUUUUUUUAAAGUCAGAUGUGAAAUCCCUGGGCUUAACCUAGGAACUGCAUUUUGAAACUGAAAUACUAGAGUAUCGUAGAGGGAGGUAGAAUUCUAGGUGUAGCGGUGAAAUGCGUAGAUAUCUGGAGGAAUACCUGUGGCGAAAGCGGCCUCCUAAACGAAUACUGACACUGAGGUGCGAAAGCGUGGGGAGCAAACAGGGAUUAGAU
RNAcentral lists this ribosomal RNA (455 nucleotides) under uncultured bacterium. Its description in RNAcentral is "bacterial SSU rRNA". It matches the Rfam family "Bacterial small subunit ribosomal RNA", at positions 340 to 783 of the family's 1533-position model. The record is from RNAcentral.